GAGAGGUUUCAUUGAAGGUACUGCUGUUAAAGCUAAUCCUGAUAGUGACGAAGCCAAGCUCAAAGUUAAAUUCUAUGUUCCUCCAUUCAUGCCUAUCAUUCCUGUUGUUGGAGAUUAUUGGGUUUUGUAUCUUGAUCAUGAUUAUCACCAUGCUUUGAUUGGCCAACCUAGCAGAAACUAUCUAUGGAUAUUGUGCAGGCAGAAUCAUUUGGAUGAGGAG
Molecule: unclassified non-coding RNA, 220 nt
Filed under: Hevea brasiliensis (rubber tree)
Lineage: Eukaryota; Viridiplantae; Streptophyta; Magnoliopsida; Malpighiales; Euphorbiaceae
Source: RNAcentral